UUGGAGAAGUUUGAUCCUGGCUCAGGAUGAACGCUGGCGGCGUGCCUAAUACAUGCAAGUCGAGCGAACAGAUAAGGAGCUUGCUCCUUUGACGUUAGCGGCGGACGGGUGAGUAACACGUGGAUAACCUACCUAUAAGACUGGGAUAACUUCGGGAAACCGGAGCUAAUACCGGAUAACAUAUUGAACCGCAUGGUUCAAUAGUGAAAGGCGGCUUUGCUGUCACUUAUAGAUGGAUCCGCGCCGUAUUAGCUAGUUGGUAAGGUAACGGCUUACCAAGGCAACGAUACGUAGCCGACCUGAGAGGGUGAUCGGCCACACUGGAACUGAGACACGGUCCAGACUCCUACGGGAGGCAGCAGUAGGGAAUCUUCCGCAAUGGGCGAAAGCCUGACGGAGCAACGCCGCGUGAGUGAUGAAGGUCUUCGGAUCGUAAAACUCUGUUAUCAGGGAAGAACAAAUGUGUAAGUAACUGUGCACAUCUUGACGGUACCUGAUCAGAAAGCCACGGCUAACUACGUGCCAGCAGCCGAGGUAAUA
This 540-nucleotide ribosomal RNA is filed under the name Staphylococcus sp. Its description in RNAcentral is "bacterial SSU rRNA". It matches the Rfam family "Bacterial small subunit ribosomal RNA", at positions 1 to 525 of the family's 1533-position model. The record is from RNAcentral. Lineage: Bacteria; Bacillati; Bacillota; Bacilli; Caryophanales; Staphylococcaceae.